GUGAGGAAUAUUGCACAAUGGAGGCAACUCUGACGCAGCCAUGCCGCGUGCAGGAAGAAGGCGCUACGCGUUGUAAACUGCUUUUAACCGGGAAGAAACCCCAGGACGUGUCCUGGGUUGACGGUACCGGAGGAAUAAGCACCGGCUAACUUCGUGCCAGCAGCCGCGGUAAUACGAAGGGUGCAAGCGUUAUCCGGAUUCAUUGGGUUUAAAGGGUGCGUAGGCGGAGCGUUAAGUCAGUGGUGAAAUCCUGCAGCUUAACUGUAGACUUGCCAUUGAUACUGGCGCUCUUGAGUGCGCUUGAAGUGGGCGGAAUGUGCCGUGUAGCGGUGAAAUGCUUAGAUAUGGCACAGAACACCAAUUGCGAAGGCAGCUCACUAAGGCGAUACUGACGCUGAGGCACGAAAGCGUGGGGAUCGAACAGGAUUAGAUACCCUUGUAGUCC
This 445-nucleotide ribosomal RNA is filed under the name uncultured bacterium. RNAcentral's name for it is "partial 16S ribosomal RNA". It matches the Rfam family "Bacterial small subunit ribosomal RNA", at positions 354 to 796 of the family's 1533-position model. The record is from RNAcentral.